AGCCUUAUAGUACAUAACAAACAAUACAGUAAACUGCAACUUUACAAAAGCACAAUGCUAAGGCAU
RNAcentral lists this transfer RNA (66 nucleotides) under Lanceolaria lanceolata. RNAcentral's name for it is "tRNA-Cys". The record is from RNAcentral. Lineage: Eukaryota; Metazoa; Mollusca; Bivalvia; Unionida; Unionidae.